AACGCUAGCUACAGGCUUAACACAUGCAAGUCGAGGGGCAGCAUUGGAGUAGCAAUACUUCAGAUGGCGACCGGCGCACGGGUGAGUAACACGUAUCCAACCUGCCGCUUACUCGGGGAUAGCCUUUCGAAAGAAAGAUUAAUACCCGAUGGUAUAAAGAGUUCGCAUGUUCUCUUUAUUAAAGAAUUUCGGUAAGCGAUGGGGAUGCGUUCCAUUAGAUAGUUGGCGGGGUAACGGCCCACCAAGUCUACGAUGGAUAGGGGUUCUGAGAGGAAGGUCCCCCACAUUGGAACUGAGACACGGUCCAAACUCCUACGGGAGGCAGCAGUGAGGAAUAUUGGUCAAUGGGCGCGAGCCUGAACCAGCCAAGUAGCGUGAAGGAUGAAGGUCCUACGGAUUGUAAACUUCUUUUAUAAGGGAAUAAAGUCACCUACGUGUAGGUGUUUGUAUGUACCUUAUGAAUAAGCAUCGGCUAACUCCGUGCCAGCAGCCGCGGUAAUACGGAGGAUGCGAGCGUUAUCUGGAUUUAUUGGGUUUAAAGGGAGCGUAGACGGGUCGUUAAGUCAGCUGUGAAAGUUUGAGGCUCAACCUUAAAAUUGCAGUUGAUACUGGCGUCCUUGAGUACGGUUGAGGCAGGCGGAAUUCGUGGUGUAGCGGUGAAAUGCAUAGAUAUCACGAAGAACUCCGAUUG
RNAcentral lists this ribosomal RNA (691 nucleotides) under uncultured bacterium. RNAcentral describes it as "bacterial SSU rRNA". It matches the Rfam family "Bacterial small subunit ribosomal RNA", at positions 32 to 715 of the family's 1533-position model. The record is from RNAcentral.